GAUGAACGCUGGCGGCGUGCCUAAUACAUGCAAGUCGAGCGAACAGACGAGGAGCUUGCUCCUCUGACGUUAGCGGCGGACGGGUGAGUAACACGUGGAUAACCUACCUAUAAGACUGGGAUAACUUCGGGAAACCGGAGCUAAUACCGGAUAAUAUAUUGAACCGCAUGGUUCAAUAGUGAAAGACGGUUUUGCUGUCACUUAUAGAUGGAUCCGCGCCGCAUUAGCUAGUUGGUAAGGUAACGGCUUACCAAGGCAACGAUGCGUAGCCGACCUGAGAGGGUGAUCGGCCACACUGGAACUGAGACACGGUCCAGACGCCUACGGGAGGCAGCAGUAGGGAAUCUGCCGCAAUGGGCGAAAGCCUGACGGAGCAACGCCGCGUGAGUGAUAAAGGUCUUCGGAGCGGAAAACUCGGUUAUUAGGGAAGAACAAAUGUGUAAGUAACUAUGCACGUCUUGACGGUACCUAAUCAGAAAGCCACGGCUAACUACGUG
RNAcentral lists this ribosomal RNA (497 nucleotides) under uncultured bacterium. RNAcentral's name for it is "partial 16S ribosomal RNA". It matches the Rfam family "Bacterial small subunit ribosomal RNA", at positions 28 to 507 of the family's 1533-position model. The record is from RNAcentral.